CGAGCCGACCGGGCGACCGCGUCGAUCUGGCAACAGAUCGCCGAGGAAAGUCCGGGCUCCACAGAGCAGGGUGGUUGUUAACGGCAACCCGGGGUGACCCGCGGGACAGUGCCACAGAAAACAGACCGCCGGACGGGCCGAGUUCGCUCGGGUCGUCGGGUAAGGGUGAAACGGUGGUGUAAGAGACCACCAGCAUUCCGGGUGACCGGAGUGGCUAGGUAAACCCCACCCGGAGCAAGGUCAAGAGGUUGCCUGCAUUGCAGGCAACUGCGCAGGCGUUCGAGGGCUGCUCGCCCGAGCCUGCGGGUAGACCGCUAGAGCCUGCCGGCGACGGCAGGUCGAGAUGGAUGGUCGCCGUUCGGAGGAUUCGUCUUCCGUUCACAGGACCCGGCUUAGAGGUUGGCUCGUCCG
Molecule: RNase P RNA, 411 nt
Filed under: Actinomycetota bacterium
Lineage: Bacteria; Bacillati; Actinomycetota
Description: RNase P RNA component class A
Rfam family: Bacterial RNase P class A
About the family: Ribonuclease P (RNase P) is a ubiquitous endoribonuclease, found in archaea, bacteria and eukarya as well as chloroplasts and mitochondria. Its best characterised activity is the generation of mature 5'-ends of tRNAs by cleaving the 5'-leader elements of precursor-tRNAs.
Source: RNAcentral